This 461-nucleotide ribosomal RNA is filed under the name uncultured bacterium. RNAcentral's name for it is "partial 16S ribosomal RNA". It matches the Rfam family "Bacterial small subunit ribosomal RNA", at positions 338 to 795 of the family's 1533-position model. The record is from RNAcentral.
CCUACGGGUGGCUGCAGUGAGGAAUAUUGGUCAAUGGGCGGGAGCCUGAACCAGCCAAGCCGCGUGAGGGAAGACGGUCCUCUGGUUUGUAAACCUCUUUAGGCGGGGAGCAAUGCCGGGCACGUGUGCCCGGAGGGAGAGUACCCGCAGAAUAAGCAUCCGCUAACUCCGUGCCAGCAGCCGCCGGAAUACGGAGGAUGCGAGCGUUAUUCGGAUUUAUUGGGUGUAAAGGGUGCGGAGGCGGGAUUUUUAGUCAGACGGGAAAUGGCCGGGCCUAAACCGGGGCCGGCGGUGGAAACUGGGGAUCUUGAGUGGGCGAGAGGUGUGCGGAAUGCGUGGUGUAGCGGUGAAAUGCAUAGAUAUCACGCAGAACUCCGGUUGCUAAGGCAGCAUACCGGCGCCCGACUGACGCUGAGGCACGAAAGCGUGGGGAUCGAACAGGAUUAGAUACCCUAGUAGUC